ACCAGACCUGGUGUUCUGGGAUCUGGUGUGAAAACAGAAUCACUGCCUCACUUAUUAUUCUUCAGAGAACAAUUUUUAUUUCUCUGUCUCUAAAUGUCACAAGCCUUUUCCAAUGUUCAAGAAGAAAAGAUGUCUCCAGGUUGCUGUGCAGGACAAUGAGCACAAGUUCCCUUUUUUUGCUUCAUGCUGGAGAAUCUCCAAG
Molecule: long non-coding RNA, 202 nt
Filed under: Homo sapiens (human)
Lineage: Eukaryota; Metazoa; Chordata; Mammalia; Primates; Hominidae
Description: long non-coding RNA NONHSAT217877
Source: RNAcentral